CCUACGGGUGGCAGCAGUGAGGAAUAUUGGUCAAUGGGCGCUAGCCUGAACCAGCCAAGUAGCGUGAAUGAUGACUGCCCUAUGGGUUGUAAGCUUCUUUUAUAUGGGAAUAAAGUCCAGUAUGUAUACUGCUUUGCAUGUACCUUAUGAAUAAGGGUCGGCUAACUCCGUGCCAGCAGCCGCGGUAAUACGGAGGGUCCGAGCGUUAUCCGGAUUUGUUGGGUUUAAAGGGAGCGUAGGCGGGUUGUUAAGUCAGUUGUGAAAGUUUGCGGCUAAACCGUAAAAUUGCAAUUGAUACUGGCAUCCUUGAGUACAGUAGAGGUAGGCGGAAUUCGUGGUGUAGCGGUGAAAUGCGUAGAUAUCACGAAGAACUCCGAUUGCGAAGGCAGCCUGAUGGACUGUAACUGACGCUGAUGCUCGAAAGUGUGGGUAGCAAACAGGAUUAGAUACCCGAGUAGUC
RNAcentral lists this ribosomal RNA (460 nucleotides) under uncultured bacterium. RNAcentral's name for it is "partial 16S ribosomal RNA". It matches the Rfam family "Bacterial small subunit ribosomal RNA", at positions 338 to 795 of the family's 1533-position model. The record is from RNAcentral.